GGUUAAAAAAACUUGCUCAACAUCACAUGGUGGGACUCAGCAUGCUGACUUCAGGUUAGCCGUUCUAUCCCAUGAAGAAACGGACCCUCUCGUGGGUCGUUGAUGGUCCAUUAUGAUUGCAUCUUUCCUGGUCUCAUCCUUAGAAUAGUCUCAUUGGAGACUGAUCCAGACAAAUAAUCCUCAAGGAACUGCUUUUUUCUUUUUGUUGGAACAGAUUUUAACCGGACCACUAAUGUCAGAAAGGACACCAAUACACUCAGUGGAGAGCUGCUGCUCAUUUUCCCUGUGCAAGAUGCAGAAAUCUGGAAUUCAAAGAGGCUUUGCAGAGUUUAGAGCAUAUUCUACCCAACUGGCCCCAGAUGGAAAAUACUCUUUUGAAAUUGGAUGGCUUUUUAAGUGUAGCUCUCCACAGCCUGCUCAAGGAAAAAAAAAAAGUAAGCUCGAACAGAAUGCAUUUAGUAGCAUGGUCUAUAAUUCCCCCAGCAUCGCACGUAUUUGGAUGUUUUUGCUUUUGGCAGUGGAAUUUUUCUAAUUUAAUUAACUCAUUAAUGUUAGCAGAUGACACAGUGUGAAAAUUCUUUUCCCUAGCCACUUACAUAUUCUUCCAAUCCACUGGAGUUAUGUGUACACUUUAUUUAUUUAUUUAUAAAAUUUAUUUAUCUGUUUUGUUUCUAUACUGACCUUCCCUUUAAGAGUUCACAGGCAACAUGUAGACAUUUUAUGUAAUGUAUUAUAAACCUUUUUUAAAGCAAUAAAUGGAGAAGAAUCAGAGGAAAGAAAUAAAGAGCGGUGGUGCAGGGGGAGAUCUUUACAAAGGAAGAGUGGGAGAGAAGGAACAGAUGGUUUGAGAAGAGCAGCCAGAGCUAAAAUGCUUACCCUGGUCUAAGCGCAUGCAAUUCUGUCUCUUCAUUCUUAGUUCAUACAUUGAAGAUUAGCAAUAGUUUGUGUCUGGAAAUCAGCUGGCAACACCAGGAAUGACAAUAAAGGCAAGUCCUCCAGGGUUAGCUCAAUAAAAAGUGAAUCCUCCUUGCUCAACUCAUGUA
RNAcentral lists this long non-coding RNA (1043 nucleotides) under Cercocebus atys (sooty mangabey). RNAcentral's name for it is "lncRNA (ENSCATG00000045659.1)". Lineage: Eukaryota; Metazoa; Chordata; Mammalia; Primates; Cercopithecidae. The record is from RNAcentral.